RNAcentral lists this ribosomal RNA (253 nucleotides) under uncultured bacterium. Its description in RNAcentral is "partial 16S ribosomal RNA". It matches the Rfam family "Bacterial small subunit ribosomal RNA", at positions 524 to 776 of the family's 1533-position model. The record is from RNAcentral.
UACGUAGGUGGCAAGCGUUGUCCGGAUUUACUGGGCGUAAAGAGCGCGCAGGCGGUCGUACAAGUCGCGUGUGAAAGCCCCCGGCUCAACUGGGGAGGGUCACGCGAUACUGUUCGACUCGAAGGCAGGAGAGGGAAGUGGAAUUCCCGGUGUAGUGGUGAAAUGCGUAGAUAUCGGGAGGAACACCAGUGGCGAAGGCGGCUUCCUGGCCUGUUCUUGACGCUGAGGCGCGAAAGCUAGGGGAGCAAACGGG